CACUGUCCUGGAUUGCCAACUUUAUAAUAAAAUUCUUCAAUCUUGGUUGACUUGCCAGUUUACAGAAUGCAAACUUCACUUGUUGCCUUUAAUUUUUAGAACUAUCCCCUUUGCAGUUAGCAUCAUGCUUUUCACGAAGGAUAACCACCAACACAUUAUCAAAUAUUAAUGAUUUAUGCAGUUCCUAGAUCCUUUGCAGUUUUAAAGUUCUUGAAUCAUGUUUUGUUUUAGUCAAAACAUAUUUUGAGGGAUUCGCUCCUAAUGCUCAAUCUGGAGUUGAAUUAGUCUUUGCAAAUAGCUGAAAUUCUGCUUAUUAUUCUUCACUCGCUGUUCUUUUCUAAUUAAAAUAGGAUAAGUACGUUAGAUGGUUAGAGAAUAGAUAUUGCAUGCAUUAUUUAGAUUAUUUGAUGUAAUUGUGUUUUGUUUUUACAUUUGAGUUUCGUCUUUUUGGCAUUGAUUCUUAGUCAAAUUUAAAUUUCCUUGCAGCUCUUGUCUCAAGGCAAUUUGUGGGCAUGACUCGCAUAAGAAUGGAAGGCCUCCUUGCUGCAUUCCUCAAGUUGGUUGGGACAGGAAAACAACAUACUUAUGUUGAGACUGAAAAUAUCAGAUAUAUGUACUAGCCUAUUUAAGGCUUGAAGCUCUUUACUUGCUUGUUAUUACAAACAAACAGAGUAAUAUUUUGGAGGACUUAGAGACUUUACGGAUGCUUUCUAAAAUAAUAUCCUUGAUUUUUCCUUCCUCACUAAUCAGAACUCCAAGGUUCCAUAACAUUUAUUUCCAAGUUCAAACCCUUGUAAUUUUGUUGACUACAUUGCUUGUGAAACUUUUAAAAUUAAGAUGAUCAAAGUUAAGUUGAACACGUCAAUUGAUCAAUAUCCCCUCCCUCUUCAAAUUUCUUCUUGUGUCUUUUUUCUUUAAACAACACCUGCCUACAUAAUGUAACUUUAACCUACUUUUCCCCCUCUUCCACUUCCAAUUUUCUGAUUCAACUAUAUGGUUGAGUCAUUAUGAUUAUGUCCUGUUUUACUUGUAUGCAUGUUCAUUCUACUGAUAUACUUGUUCCUGUGUCUGUUGAUCCUUCCAUAUUCUAAAGCUCUUCCUCUUUCAUGUUGCUGUAUGUGGUUUUAGUUAAACUUUAUUGUCCCAUGAAUGUUAUUCCUUAACUAUGCAAAGGUACCCAAAUAUACUUACUCUUUGGACGAAGAAGGAAUAGGUAGAGCAUCAUGUAAUCCCCCGUAAUUUUAUACAUUUCAGUUAUAUAUUUUAACGUAUAUUUAAUAUAUUUAAAUAAGGAUUUAUGAAUUUUGGAAAUGAAUAUAUAGUUAUUACAUUUUAAUUAGUAUUACAUUUAGUUAUUCCUUAUGAACUAAAUUAAUUAGUAAUAUAUUUAGUUAUUACAUUUUAAUAUUUUCAACGAUUUACGAAAUCGAAAACGAUUUUAGAAUUUUAAGUUGAAAAGAAUUUGAAUUAAGAAAAUUGAUUGAAUUUAGAAAACGAUCCUAUUCAGUUUCGGACUCGAAUCAUAAAAGCUAAAUCCUAAGUCUAGCCCACUUGAAAAGCCCAAACCAUUAAAAACCCAAAAGAACUCAAACCCUCACCCAAAACAAAUUCACGUAAAAAGAAAAAUCAAAGCCUCCUCUCCCUCCUUCAACUCCACGUACAGCACCCUCACUGCAGUUUUCUCUCCUCCCUUCGUCCGCCGCUUCUGCCAAGCCGCCGGACAACCAUCACCGCCGCCACCGCAAACAGCACCAUCGUGCGCCGCCGUCGCACAGCCCAGCCGCAAGCCACCUCCGUGCGCCGGCCAACUCCCUCUCCUCCUUCUUGAAUUGGCGGAGAAUUCUCUCUAGGCGACUUUUGAAAGUGUUAAGGUGGCCUAUCAGUUUGUUUACACAAGUCUCUAAGGAUCAAUAAGCGUUGCCCAUCUACAGGUUUGAAGAUGAUGCAUCAUUGGGAUCGGGAUUAGAGAGCUUGUAGUUCUAUUCGUUUAAUUAAGUGAUUUAAUUUGUUAACUUGGAUUUGAAAUUUGUCGUACUAUUCGUAUUUCCUUAAUUCAGUUAAUUGGUCUGGACCUAAUAUGUAAUAGAUUAUUUAUGAACCUAAAAGUUAGUUUUAUGUUUUCCGCUGCAAAAUUCUGAAUAAGCCGUAACGUUUUCACACGGGCGAUAAUACUUUGAUAAUUCCCUACAGUUAUAUUUAAAAAGAGGUUAUUUUAGAAAAUGGGAAUUGUCGGGGUGUUACAAAGUGGUAUCAGAGCUAAAGGUUUUACUACAUUUCGUGUCUACCUUUUAUAUCUUAGGCGUCUAACCAACUAAUUAGUUACGUAAAAGUAAUUUCACACUAGUGAAUAAAUUUAAAGUUAUUAGCUAGAAAUGUUUGAAUUUAUUUUAAUAUUGACUCUUGAAUCGUGCUUUGAAAUACGUUUUUGGUUAUGCGAAUUAAUGUAUUUUCUAUUCUUUUGAAAUUCAAAUUAAUAUUUCAAAAAAAA
Molecule: long non-coding RNA, 2488 nt
Organism: Spinacia oleracea (spinach)
Lineage: Eukaryota; Viridiplantae; Streptophyta; Magnoliopsida; Caryophyllales; Amaranthaceae
Exons: 4
Source: RefSeq, a predicted model, not a curated record